Molecule: long non-coding RNA, 1145 nt
Filed under: Salmo salar (Atlantic salmon)
Lineage: Eukaryota; Metazoa; Chordata; Actinopteri; Salmoniformes; Salmonidae
Description: lncRNA (ENSSSAG00000108940.1)
Source: RNAcentral
CUCGCGGUGAGUGUAUUCCAAAUACAAUACGGUCCCUGACCAUCUCAUCCUUGUUUGCAUAAUCACAGUCUUUCACAAGCAGACGCAGCUCAGUUACAAACUGUUCAAAAGACUCGCUAGCUCCCUGUACUUUCUCAUGGAAUUUGUACCUAGCGAAAAUUGUAUUAGUCUUCGGCACAACAUAUGCUUCAAAACGAUCGUAGUAUGUUUUCAGUACCUUUGAUUCAGCCUCGGGGACCCGUGAACAUUAGCUCCACAUGCUGUUUGUACUUACGCCAUGCAUCGGGGUUCUCAUAGCUGGACUUCUCGCCCAAAAGCAAACGCUAACUUGGCCAUACCUUCAAAGUGUCCUCAGGGGUCUAUAGAUAAUGGGACAUGCUGGACCUACCACACACAGGACCACAACUUCUGCAAUACAGCAAGGUGCCUCUGGAAAGAAAACAGGCGAGACCCAGGCAUCAACGGGCCUCUGUUUAAAUAAGCAGGUGCCGCAGAUCUGAAUGUGGCCUCCUCAACAUCUGUUUGCCAGGACUCCAGCAACCAUUUACAUACACAAAUUAUGUGGAAAUACAAACAUUCACAUUUAAACUCAAACAAAGGCUAUUUUGGACAUUAAAAUGCAAUCUACUAUUCUGACAGGUGAGGGGUAAGAAUGGGGGUCAGUAAAAAGCUUUACAAAAAAGGUUGGAUUUUUUUAUCUAGUCAAGCAUUGAACAUUAUAAUUUGGAUGCUCAUGGUUUUGAGAGACAACAUCAAUACAACAGCAAAAUUAACAAUCCAACAUACCUACCCACCUAGUUCCUCAGUAAUGUAAUCAUCUGAAUUGUUAAGAUAUACCUUUGACCAGUGUUUUUUGUAUCAUGAUCAUGCAUACCACUUACCAUCUAUUUCCUCUGUUUAAUAAUGGGAAUGAGAGAACAUCUAUAUCGGUCACUCACAUGUCUGACUGGGGGAAAAAGUAUGAACUGUUGCUUUUGGCAUCAUCCUAGCCCAGCCAUAAACCACUGUUAGUGUUGUUUCUCCUUUCUCUUUUGGUGGCAACAGGGAAUUUAUGUGGCAAUGGAUCCUUCUUACGGGCCUGCCCAUCUGCCCAGAGCAGCCUCUAUUGGCAACGAUUCCGAAACGUUGCAGAUUGCUAAUGUGGC